RNAcentral lists this ribosomal RNA (468 nucleotides) under uncultured bacterium. Its description in RNAcentral is "partial 16S ribosomal RNA". It matches the Rfam family "Bacterial small subunit ribosomal RNA", at positions 28 to 507 of the family's 1533-position model. The record is from RNAcentral.
GACGAACGCUGGCGGCGUGCUUAACACAUGCAAGUCGAACGGAAAGGCCCUGCUUUUGUGGGGUGCUCGAGUGGCGAACGGGUGAGUAACACGUGAGUAACCUGCCCUUGACUUUGGGAUAACUUCAGGAAACUGGGGCUAAUACCGGAUAGGAGCUCCUGCUGCAUGGUGGGGGUUGGAAAGUUUCGGCGGUUGGGGAUGGACUCGCGGCUUAUCAGCUUGUUGGUGGGGUAGUGCCUUACCAAGGCUUUGACGGGUAGCCGGCCCGAGAGGGUGACCGGCCACAUUGGGACUGAGAUACGGCCCAGACUCCUACGGGAGGCAGCAGUGGGGAAUAUUGCACAAUGGGCGGAAGCCUGAUGCAGCAACGCCGCGUGCGGGAUGACGGCCUUCGGGUUGUAAACCGCUUUCGCCUGUGACGAAGCGUGAGUGACGGUAAUGGGUAAAGAAGCACCGGCUAACUACGUG